GCAUGCCCGGCCGAGUGGUUAAGUCGUUGCUUGUUAACCGAGAGGUCCCGAGUUCGAUCCUUGUUCCACGCG
This 72-nucleotide transfer RNA is filed under the name Helianthus annuus (common sunflower). RNAcentral describes it as "tRNA HanXRQr2_Chr13g0591841". Lineage: Eukaryota; Viridiplantae; Streptophyta; Magnoliopsida; Asterales; Asteraceae. The record is from RNAcentral.